This 337-nucleotide unclassified non-coding RNA is filed under the name soil metagenome. Its description in RNAcentral is "partial contains 5.8S ribosomal RNA, internal transcribed spacer 2, and large subunit ribosomal RNA". The stretch from base 1 to 120 matches the Rfam family "5.8S ribosomal RNA", at positions 35 to 154 of the family's 154-position model. The record is from RNAcentral.
GAUGAAGAACGUAGCGAAAUGCGAUAAGUAGUGUGAAUUGCAGAAUUCAGUGAAUCAUCGAAUCUUUGAACGCACAUUGCGCCCCUUGGUAUUCCAUGGGGCAUGCCUGUUCGAGCGUCAUUUGUACCUUCAAGCUCUGCUUGGUGUUGGGUGUUUGUCUCGCCUCUGCGUGUAGACUCGCCUCAAAACAAUUGGCAGCCGGCGUAUUGAUUUCGGAGCGCAGUACAUCUCGCGCUUUGCACUCAUAACGACGACGUCCAAAAGUACAUUCUUACACUCUUGACCUCGGAUCAGGUAGGGAUACCCGCUGAACUUAAGCAUAUCAAUAAGCGGAGGA